This is a long non-coding RNA of Papaver somniferum (opium poppy), 1606 nucleotides long. RefSeq lists it as uncharacterized. NCBI's taxonomy places the organism in Eukaryota, Viridiplantae, Streptophyta, Magnoliopsida, Ranunculales, Papaveraceae. The transcript has 5 exons. The record is from RefSeq and is a predicted model, not a curated record.
UCUCCUCUUCCGUUACAACGCCCAUCAUCACCUCAGACAUGAAUUAGGGAUUUUUGCCCUUUUUCUCAUUGUUCUCCCGAUUGUUUGCCGGUUACAAGAACCAUUAACACCAACAUGAUUUGCGCCAUUAAAUCCCUUUGAUUCAUACCCGGCUAUUCAAUUAUGAUGCGUUACGAACAGCUACUCCUUACGUUCCCUUAAAUUUUCUCCUAUAUAAAUCUCAAGAAAGGUUAUCAUCUUCCAGCAUACUCUCUCACGUCUAUAGACUACCAGGUGUUGAUGUUUAAUAUGAAGAUGUUCACAGGGGUGGAGAAAAGCUUAAGCUAUCAAUUUGGGAUGUUGGGCAGGAUACGGUAAACAAGUGGUGGGAGAAGCUUAAGCUAUCGUUGAAACAUUUCUAUUGGUCACAAGAGUAUCAAUAAAGGUUUAUCAUUUCAAAUUAAUAUUCAAUAAAGGUUUGAUCUAUCUGCAAAUUGCCAGGGCAGAAUGCUAAAGAAUAUCAAUACGAUGCUUUUCAACAUAUAUAUAUAUAUAUAUGUAACAUAUGGAUAUACUAUCUUUGUUUCUGGAAAAGAGAUGGUGUCGAAUUACUGACUGCAAUCAAAAUCCCAACUCAACAAGGGAAAGCGCCUGAAGGCAUUUUGGAGUACGGACCAUUUAGUUAAAUCCGUUAUUUCAAUCCCUACUUAACAAUAGCAACAUCUGACACUGGAGAUCAGCUGUGUUUCAGAUUGUGUUUGGUCACUGUUGCAGCAUUGACCGUCUUUUAUAGUUAGUGUUUCUCUAAUCUUAAGUACAAUAGCUGCGCGACAGAUGCUUCUGCACUCCCAUUUUUUUUUAUAAAGUGGUUUCUCUGUCAUCAUCUGAAAAUCCGGGGAAAAAAGGUUACCAUCCCUGGGUUCUCCUCGAGAAAAUCGAAUCCUCUUGCUGUAUUCGCAUUCCAGCGUAGUUAUUUUCCAUGGAGAAUUGAAAACUGUUGUGAUGCAAGGAGCACGAGGCUAUGUCCCUUUCAAAUAAUCAUGCUAUAUGUCGUCCAACCCUAUGAAAAGGCGCUCUUUAUUUUGGCACAACGCUACUACUGUGAUGUGACGAUAUCAAUUCUAUCCAUAUCAAUUAACAGGUUGUGCUGCUUAAAAUACAGUACACCAAAACGGAUAACCUUGACCUUGAGGUAUCGAAGGCAAAGUUCAAGUUCGUGUUAUCAUUAAGUGUAUGGUGCGUCUCAUUGAUUAUCCGAUGGGUAGAAAGCUGGCGACCGGCGACCGACCUCCUCUGUAUAGUAAUAGACCGUCCUCCUCUGUAUAGUAAUAGGCUACCCAUGUAUAUCUCCGACCAGUGAAUGCCAUCAAGUGAAGGUUGUGUUUCUUCCAUUAUCUAUUUAUAAUAUUUGUGAGUACAUGUAUAGGCUAUUUCAUAUCAUGAUUAGAUGUUGGAUUCAGUUCAGAAGGCUAUAUUUCGGGCCGUUACGGCACAGGUCAUAUUCUAGUAUAAUGACAAAGAGGGAACUACCAAACCAUUUAAAUUGGCGAGGUAUGAUAUUUUUAAUGUUAAAAUGAUUAAGCUGAUACUUAAAGACCUCUAAUAGUUUAGGUGGUCUUCUUUUUUC